CUUUUAUGGAGAGUUUGAUCCUGGCUCAGGACGAACGCUGGCGGCGUGCCUAAUACAUGCAAGUCGAGCGGAUCUUGCCUUCGGGUAAGGUUAGCGGCGGACGGGUGAGUAACACGUAGGCAACCUGCCUGUAAGACCGGGAUAACAUUCGGAAACGAAUGCUAAUACCGGAUACGCAACUUGACUGCAUGGUCGAGUUGGGAAAGACGGUGCAAGCUGUCACUUACAGAUGGGCCUGCGGUGCAUUAGCUAGUUGGUGAGGUAACGGCUCACCAAGGCGACGAUGCAUAGCCGACCUGAGAGGGUGAUCGGCCACACUGGGACUGAGACACG
This 333-nucleotide ribosomal RNA is filed under the name Paenibacillus taihuensis. RNAcentral describes it as "bacterial SSU rRNA". It matches the Rfam family "Bacterial small subunit ribosomal RNA", at positions 1 to 328 of the family's 1533-position model. The record is from RNAcentral. Lineage: Bacteria; Bacillati; Bacillota; Bacilli; Caryophanales; Paenibacillaceae.